GAUGGUUGGUCAGCCAGAGAGACAAAGGGCAGAGAGAUCUGGAACCUUCAAUAAAUCCUGCAGUGAGGUAAUCAGGAUGUUCCUCACUCCUGUCUCAUCCAUCACCUCAUUGAAACUGGUUGGUCAGCCCGAGUGAGAGAGGUGGAGAGGGAGAUCUGGAGCCUUCAGUAAAUCCUGCAGCCGGUUCUCAGGAAGGUGCUGACUCAAUAGACUUCCCAAUUGCUAGGUGUCUCGUCCAACACCUCUUUGAAGAUGAUUGGUCAGCCAGAGAGACAAAGGAUAGGGAGAUGUGGAGCCUUCAAUAAAUCCUGCAGUGAAGUUGCAUUGGGACAUUGACAGGACGCAGAGCUGGGCUGGAAGUGGCAGAUGGAGUCCAAUCUGGAAAAGUGUGAAGUGAUUCAUUCUGGAAGGUACUCAGGAAAGUCCUGACUCAAUAGCCUUCACAGCUGCGGGGUAGAUGUUCCAUCACCACAUUGAAGAUGGUUGGUCUGCCAGAGAGAGACAAAGGGCAGGGAAAUCUGGAGCCUUCAAUAAAUCCUGUAGUGAGGUAUUCCUGAUGUCCCUGACUCAGCAGAAUUCCCAAUUCCUGUCUCGUCCAUCACCACAUUGAAGACGGUUGGUCAGCCGGAGAGAGAUGGAGAGUGAGAUCUGGAUCCUUCAGUAAAUCCUGCAGCUGGUACUCAAUUAACUUCCCAGCUGCUGGGUGUCUCGUCCAUCACCACAUUGAAGAUGGUUGGUCAGCCAGAGAGACAAAGGGCAGGGAGAUCUAGAGCCUUCAAUAAAUCCUGCAGUGAGAUGGCAAUGGUAAUGACUGCGGAUGGUGCUAACUGAGGAAAUGUCAAUGUAUUCAUACCUGCUGCUGAGUGUCGGUGGUGGAGUGAGGGAGUCGUUGUGGAUGUGGACUUUUUGAUAGUGGAAUCACUGACAUCUGUCCAUUACUUGCUGCUGGUGCUGUCAGAAUACAAGUCGUCCCGCUUUGCAGCAGAAAGCAGUAAGAGUUUUGCCAGGUUGUCCCUCAUCUCGUGGUCUGGCUGGUGAUGCUCCCAGCAUGUUCUUCUGCAUUCAACACUAACCGAGUUACUGUAGAGUGGGAGAUAUAUUGGGCCGUGAUGGUUACUGGAGAGUGGGAGGUAGGUUGGGCUGUGAUGGUUACUGUACAGUGGGAGGUAUGUGGGCCCGUGAUAGUUACUGUACUGAGGGUAGUAUGUCAGGCCGUUAUGGUUUCUGUACAGUUGGAGGUAUGUGGGGCCAUGAUGACUACUGGUCAUUGGGAGGUAUAUGGGGCCGUGAUAGUUACUGUACAGCGGGAGGUAU
This is a long non-coding RNA of Hemiscyllium ocellatum (epaulette shark), 1314 nucleotides long. RefSeq lists it as uncharacterized. The record is from RefSeq and is a predicted model, not a curated record. The transcript has 8 exons. NCBI's taxonomy places the organism in Eukaryota, Metazoa, Chordata, Chondrichthyes, Orectolobiformes, Hemiscylliidae.